CUCAUUAAUCAUUAAAACCAAACAUAGAGAACGCUGGCUAAGAAUUAUUUGUACAAAAGUGAAGUCAAGACCACAUAAAUCGUUUGAAAGUUUCUCCAAACUGCGCGUGGCCCACCCAAGCUAACAAUCGAACGCGUUUGGGUUAAAACUGUUUCUACACUGGGCUACAGCUUUGGCUGCUAGAAAAUAAAAAUCAACAACAACAACAACAACAACCAGCCAAAGACAAUGAAGGUCUGAAGGGGCAGCCACAAGAAUUCAAAAGGAAAUCGCGCCAAG
Long non-coding RNA from Drosophila busckii, 279 nucleotides. RefSeq lists it as uncharacterized. The record is from RefSeq and is a predicted model, not a curated record. The transcript has 3 exons. Lineage: Eukaryota; Metazoa; Arthropoda; Insecta; Diptera; Drosophilidae.